UGAAGCGGCAACAGCUCAAAUUUGAAAGCUAGCCUUCGGGUUCGCAUUGUAAUUUGUANAGGAUGAUUUGGGGAAGCCGCCUGUCUAAGUUCCUUGGAACAGGACGUCAUAGAGGGUGAGAAUCCCGUAUGUGACAGGAAAUGGCACCCUAUGUAAAUCUCCUUCGACGAGUCGAGUUGUUUGGGAAUGCAGCUCUAAAUGGGAGGUAAAUUUCUUCUAAAGCUAAAUAUUGGCGAGAGACCGAUAGCGCACAAGUAGAGUGAUCGAAAGAUGAAAAGCACUUUGGAAAGAGAGUUAAAAAGCACGUGAAAUUGUUGAAAGGGAAGCGCUUGCAAUCAGACUUGUUUAAACUGUUCGGCCGGUCUUCUGACCGGUUUACUCAGUUUGGACAGGCCAGCAUCAGUUUCGGCGGCCGGAUAAAGGCUCUGGGAAUGUGGCCUCCACUUCGGUGGAGGUGUUAUAGCCCAGGGUGUAAUACGGCCAGCCGGGACUGAGGUCCGCGCUUCGGCUAGGAUGCUGGCGUAAUGGUUGUAAGCGACCCGUCUUGAA
Molecule: ribosomal RNA, 549 nt
Filed under: Aureobasidium pullulans
Lineage: Eukaryota; Fungi; Ascomycota; Dothideomycetes; Dothideales; Saccotheciaceae
Description: partial large subunit ribosomal RNA
Rfam family: Eukaryotic large subunit ribosomal RNA
Source: RNAcentral